UACGUAGGUGGCAAGCGUUGUCCGGAAUUAUUGGGCGUAAAGCGCGCGUAGGCGGUCCUUUAAGUCUGAUGUGAAAGCCCACGGCUCAACCGUGGAGGGUCAUUGGAAACUGGGGGACUUGAGUGCAGGAGAGAAGAGUGGAAUUCCACGUGUAGCGGUGAAAUGCGUAGAGAUGUGGAGGAACACCCGUGGCGAAGGCGGCUCUCUGGGACGGUACUGACGCUGAGACGCGAAAGCGUGGGGAGCAAACAGG
This 253-nucleotide ribosomal RNA is filed under the name uncultured bacterium. Its description in RNAcentral is "partial 16S ribosomal RNA". It matches the Rfam family "Bacterial small subunit ribosomal RNA", at positions 524 to 776 of the family's 1533-position model. The record is from RNAcentral.